This 440-nucleotide ribosomal RNA is filed under the name uncultured bacterium. RNAcentral's name for it is "partial 16S ribosomal RNA". It matches the Rfam family "Bacterial small subunit ribosomal RNA", at positions 338 to 795 of the family's 1533-position model. The record is from RNAcentral.
CCUACGGGAGGCAGCAGUGGGGAAUAUUGCACAAUGGGGGAAACCCUGAUGCAGCGACGCCGCGUGAGUGAAGAAGUAAUUCGUUAUGUAAAGCUCUAUCAGCAGGGAAGAAAAUGACGGUACCUGAGUAAGAAGCCCCGGCUAACUACGUGCCAGCAGCCGCGGCAAUACGUAGGGGGCAAGCGUUAUCCGGAUUUACUGGGGGUAAAGGGAGCGUAGACGGCUGUGCAAGUCUGGAGUGAGAGGCGGGGGCUCAACCCCCGGACUGCUGGGGAAACUGUACGGCUGGAGUGCAGGAGAGGUAAGUGGAAUGCGUAGUGUAGCGGUGAAAUGCGUAGAUAUUAGGAGGAACACCAGUGGCGAAGGCGGCUUACUGGACUGUAACUGACGUUGAGGCUCGAAAGCGUGGGGAGCAAACAGGAUUAGAUACCCGGGUAGUC